GGACCUCACAGCAGGUCUCCGAAGGCCAGACCUCCACCUGGUGCCUGGGUAGAGAUUGGGGCAGCCAAAGCCCAAGGCCUUGCGACAAGGUCUGCAGGAAGGUGGGUCUCGGGGGCCAGAGCCCAGGGGUGCUCUGGGCCCAGGGCAGAAGGGCUCUGAGGGCCAGGUGUGCCCAAGAAGACGUGAGGACGGCUGACCCUGAGAGUCGUCUGGGUGUCCCGUCUAGGGUGAUAGCAUUGAGGACAGCUCCUGGGGAGCCAGGGGCUGGGGACACACUGGACGCUGAGGUCAUCCCGUGAGUUCCAAGAUGAGCUCAUCCUAGAGCCAGGAGCUCUGGCCGUGGCCAUGCCCUGUCUGCCCCAGGACCCCAGCCCCAUGGGGAGUCCCGGGUCUGUGAGCUGGCCUGCUGUGCUGCCAGAACCCUGGCUGCCUGGGUGGCCCUGGACAGUGUCCUCGGUUUUCCCAGAUUGUGCCCUCCCCUCCUAUUCCUGGGCCAGGAAGUCUGACAGCCUCUGUGCGGGUCAGGGUGACAACCACAAGACCCGGGGCAGGCAGGCUGCCCGGGAGGUGGUCCUGCUGCACGUGGGGAGGAGCAGGCCAGGGGUGUGGAGAGCAGGGGCAGCCUGGGCGGCUGGGGGCUGGGGAGCCAGGUUGCAGUGGACGGAGCAGGCCCCGGCGCUGAGGCACCAGAAGGAGCCUCGGGGUGGCCAGUGUCAAGUGAAAAGGUCUGAGAGCGGCCAGUGCCAGCCAUCUUCGGGAUGGAGGGGCCCGUAAGAAGCCCCUCCCCGGGCCGCCUUCCCGCCCAGCUCCCCCUCACUUCCUCCUCUCCCCGAGAGCCUGGGGCGGCAGGCUGGCAGGGGCCGGGGGUCUCUCAGUUCCUCACUUGCUGGGGUACAGGAGGCUCACGGCGUGGAUGGUGGGCUGCACAGGGUCACCGUGUCCUUCUAUGAGUACGCUGGGCACGUGGUGGGGAGUGAGGGGCGGCUUGGCCCUGGCCCCAAGGGGCACACUGAGAUCAGAUGGCCAAGGUGCCAGUCCCCUGGACCAGGGGAUGGUACUCCAGGUAGAGGGACGCCCUGCAGCAAGAGCCCUGAGGUGGGGACAAGCAGGGACAGCUGUGACGUGGGGGUAAACUGAG
This 1138-nucleotide long non-coding RNA is filed under the name Marmota monax (woodchuck). Lineage: Eukaryota; Metazoa; Chordata; Mammalia; Rodentia; Sciuridae. The record is from RNAcentral.